CGCGGAGCCCGCCCCGCCUGACGCGCCCCUGACGCACCGGAGCCCGCGGGGGCGGCAGAGACCCGCCCCGGCCCGCAGGACACCCCCUCGGAACGCGCGGCCCCCGGCUAAGUCAUGUUUAACAGCCUCAGAAAUUAUCUUGUCUCCGCGUUCUUUCUUCUGCCGGCGAGCCAGUGUCAUUUGUGGAUUAUUAAAGAAACCUCUCCAUACCUGAUGCAUAAAGGUGUAUUCAUAAUUGCUCAUUGAAGCAGUUUUAUGAUGGGUAGCUGAAAUACAACAUCAUAAUUUUUACUGGAAAAUAGCCACAAUGAAGGAACACCACAAUUUCACCAUGAAAACCAGCACAACCUUACACAGAUGACAAACAUUUCCCCUCAAAACUUGUUAAACUGUAUUUGGGCUGACCAAAUUAACCAGAGUUAUUCUAUUUAUGGGGGAGCAGGAAGUAACUUGAUAAAAUGCUUUGAGUUUAUAUAUCAUGUCAAAUAAAUAGCAUAAUUUUAAAGGAAAAAAA
RNAcentral lists this long non-coding RNA (514 nucleotides) under Homo sapiens (human). RNAcentral describes it as "HSALNT0343369". Lineage: Eukaryota; Metazoa; Chordata; Mammalia; Primates; Hominidae. The record is from RNAcentral.